This is a ribosomal RNA of Lepisosteus oculatus (spotted gar), 119 nucleotides long. NCBI's taxonomy places the organism in Eukaryota, Metazoa, Chordata, Actinopteri, Semionotiformes, Lepisosteidae. The record is from Ensembl.
GCCAGCAGCCAUAUCACCCUGCAACUCACAACUGGUAGCCCACUGAAGCGAAGCAGGUGUGAGCCUGGUCAGUACCUGGAUAGGAGACCUCCUGGGAAAAACUAAGGUUGGUGCUGGAA